GGUCAUGUAGCUCAGCUGGAAGAGCGCCAGACAUGAAUGCUGGAGGCCUGGGUUCAAUCCCUAGCGUGGCCG
This is a non-coding RNA of Mycena capillaripes, 72 nucleotides long. The record is from the annotation of a GenBank genome assembly. Lineage: Eukaryota; Fungi; Basidiomycota; Agaricomycetes; Agaricales; Mycenaceae.